This 329-nucleotide unclassified non-coding RNA is filed under the name soil metagenome. RNAcentral's name for it is "partial contains 5.8S ribosomal RNA, internal transcribed spacer 2, and large subunit ribosomal RNA". The stretch from base 1 to 120 matches the Rfam family "5.8S ribosomal RNA", at positions 35 to 154 of the family's 154-position model. The record is from RNAcentral.
GAUGAAGAACGUAGCGAAAUGCGAUAAGUAAUGUGAAUUGCAGAAUUCCGUGAAUCAUCGAAUCUUUGAACGCAUAUUGCGCCCUCUGGUAUUCCGAGGGGCAUGCCUGUUCGAGCGUCAUUAUAACCCCUCAAGCUCAGCUUGGUGUUGGGGCCUGCUGCACUGGCAGCCCUUAAAAUCAGUGGCGGCGCCAUCUGGCUCUAAGCGUAGUAAUUCUUCUCGCUAUGGAGUCCUGGUGGAUGCUUGCCAUCAACCCCCAAUUUUUCUAUGGUUGACCUCGGAUCAGGUAGGGAUACCCGCUGAACUUAAGCAUAUCAAUAAGCGGAGGA